GAUGAACGCUGGCGGCGUGCCUAAUACAUGCAAGUCGAGCGAACGGACGAGAAGCUUGCUUCUCUGAUGUUAGCGGCGGACGGGUGAGUAACACGUGGAUAACCUACCUAUAAGACUGGGAUAACUUCGGGAAACCGGAGCUAAUACCGGAGAAUAUUUUGAACCGCAUGGUUCAAAAGUGAAAGACGGUCUUGCUGUCACUUAUAGAUGGAUCCGCGCUGCAUUAGCUAGUUGGUAAGGUAACGGCUUACCAAGGCAACGAUGCAUAGCCGACCUGAGAGGGUGAUAGGCCACACUGGAACUGAGACACGGUCCAGACUCCUACGGGAGGCAGCAGUAGGGAAUCUUCCGCAAUGGGCGAAAGCCUGACGCAGCAACGCCGCGUGAGUGAUGAAGGUCUUCGGAUCGUAAAACUCUGUUAUUAGGGAAGAACAUAUGUGUAAGUAACUGUGCACAUCUUGACGGUACCUAAUCAGAAAGCCACGGCUAACUACGUG
This 497-nucleotide ribosomal RNA is filed under the name uncultured bacterium. RNAcentral's name for it is "partial 16S ribosomal RNA". It matches the Rfam family "Bacterial small subunit ribosomal RNA", at positions 28 to 507 of the family's 1533-position model. The record is from RNAcentral.